Molecule: ribosomal RNA, 442 nt
Filed under: uncultured bacterium
Lineage: Bacteria
Description: partial 16S ribosomal RNA
Rfam family: Bacterial small subunit ribosomal RNA
Source: RNAcentral
CCUACGGGGGGCAGCAGUAGGGAAUCUUUCACAAUGGGCGAAAGCCUGAUGGAGCAACGCCGCGUGCAGGAUGAAGGCCUUCGGGUUGUAAACUGCUUUUAUAAGCGAGAAAUAUGAUGGUAACUUAUGAAUAAGGAUCGGCUAGCAACGUGCCAGAAGCGGCGGUCAUACGUAGGAUCCGAGCAUUAUCCGGAGUGACUGGGUGUAAAGAGUUGCGUAGGUGGCAUAAUAAGUAGCUAGUGAAAUCUGGUGGCUCAACCAUUCAGACUAUUAGCUAAACUGUUAAGCUCGAGACCGUUAGGGGUAACUGGAAUUUCUAGUGUAGGAGUGAAAUCCGUAGAUAUUACGAAGAACCCCGAUAGCGUAGGCAGGUUGCUGAGACGGUUCUGACACUAAGGCACGAAAGCGUAGGGAGCAAACGGGAUUAGAUACCCGAGUAGUC